AGUAACCUGCCCUUGACUCUGGGAUAAGCCUGGGAAACUGGGUCUAAUACCGGAUAUGACUGCUCCGCGCAUGCGGUGGUGGUGGAAAGCUUUUGCGGUUUUGGAUGGACUCGCGGCCUAUCAGCUUGUUGGUGGGGUAAUGGCCUACCAAGGCGACGACGGGUAGCCGGCCUGAGAGGGUGACCGGCCACACUGGGACUGAGACACGGCCCAGACUCCUACGGGAGGCAGCAGUGGGGAAUAUUGCACAAUGGGCGCAAGCCUGAUGCAGCGACGCCGCGUGAGGGAUGACGGCCUUCGGGUUGUAAACCUCUUUCAGUAGGGAAGAAGCUUUCGGGUGACGGUACCUGCAGAAGAAGCGCCGGCUAACUACGUGCCAGCAGCCGCGGUAAUACGUAGGGCGCAAGCGUUAUCCGGAAUUAUUGGGCGUAAAGAGCUCGUAGGCGGUUUGUCGCGUCUGCUGUGAAAGACCGGGGCUCAACUCCGGUUCUGCAGUGGGUACGGGCAGACUAGAGUGAUGUAGGGGAGACUGGAAUUCCUGGUGUAGCGGUGAAAUGCGCAGAUAUCAGGAGGAACACCGAUGGCGAAGGCAGGUCUCU
RNAcentral lists this ribosomal RNA (599 nucleotides) under Arthrobacter sp. RNAcentral's name for it is "bacterial SSU rRNA". It matches the Rfam family "Bacterial small subunit ribosomal RNA", at positions 120 to 730 of the family's 1533-position model. The record is from RNAcentral. Lineage: Bacteria; Bacillati; Actinomycetota; Actinomycetes; Micrococcales; Micrococcaceae.